RNAcentral lists this ribosomal RNA (433 nucleotides) under uncultured bacterium. Its description in RNAcentral is "partial 16S ribosomal RNA". It matches the Rfam family "Bacterial small subunit ribosomal RNA", at positions 29 to 507 of the family's 1533-position model. The record is from RNAcentral.
AACGAACGCUGGCGGCAGGCCUAACACAUGCAAGUCGAGCGAGAUCUUCGGGUCUAGCGGCGGACGGGUGAGUAACGCGUGGGAAUAUGCCUCUUGGUACGGAAUAGCCUCGGGAAACUGGGAGUAAUACCGUAUGUGCCCUUUGGGGGAAAGAUUUAUCGCCAAGAGAUUAGCCCGCGUUGGAUUAGGUAGUUGGUGGGGUAAUGGCCUACCAAGCCGACGAUCCAUAGCUGGUUUGAGAGGAUGAUCAGCCACACUGGGACUGAGACACGGCCCAGACUCCUACGGGAGGCAGCAGUGGGGAAUCUUAGACAAUGGGGGCAACCCUGAUCUAGCCAUGCCGCGUGAGUGAUGAAGGCCUUAGGGUUGUAAAGCUCUUUCAGCUGGGAAGAUAAUGACGGUACCGGCAGAAGAAGCCCCGGCUAACUCCGUG